RNAcentral lists this ribosomal RNA (137 nucleotides) under uncultured Phycodrys sp. Its description in RNAcentral is "partial small subunit ribosomal RNA". Lineage: Eukaryota; Rhodophyta; Florideophyceae; Ceramiales; Delesseriaceae. RNAcentral also lists the same sequence under 1 other name. The record is from RNAcentral.
AAACAGACSAAUUAASGCUUAACGAGCGAGACCUGGGCGUGCUAGCUAGGCGCUAUUACCUUUUUUGGUAAUAAGGCAGCCUACCUAGACGGACUGCAGGCGUCUAGUCUGCGGAAGCUCCAGGCAACAGGUCUGUG